GCCGGAGUGAUGGAAUUGGUAGACAUGACGGAUUCAAAAUCCGUUGCUCUUGCGAGCGUGGCGGUUCAAGUCCGCCCUCCGGUA
This 84-nucleotide transfer RNA is filed under the name Kangiella geojedonensis. RNAcentral's name for it is "Kangiella sp. YCS-5 tRNA". It matches the Rfam family "tRNA". From Rfam's summary of the family: Transfer RNA (tRNA) molecules are approximately 80 nucleotides in length. Their secondary structure includes four short double-helical elements and three loops (D, anti-codon, and T loops). Lineage: Bacteria; Pseudomonadati; Pseudomonadota; Gammaproteobacteria; Kangiellales; Kangiellaceae. The record is from Rfam by way of RNAcentral.